Molecule: ribosomal RNA, 531 nt
Filed under: uncultured bacterium
Lineage: Bacteria
Description: partial 16S ribosomal RNA
Rfam family: Bacterial small subunit ribosomal RNA
Source: RNAcentral
UGGGGAAUUUUGGACAAUGGGCGAAAGCCUGAUCCAGCAAUGCCGCGUGCAGGAUGAAGGCCUUCGGGUUGUAAACUGCUUUUGUACGGAACGAAAAAGCUUCUCCUAAUACGAGAGGCCCAUGACGGUACCGUAAGAAUAAGCACCGGCUAACUACGUGCCAGCAGCCGCGGUAAUACGUAGGGUGCGAGCGUUAAUCGGAAUUACUGGGCGUAAAGCGUGCGCAGGCGGUUAUGUAAGACAGAUGUGAAAUCCCCGGGCUCAACCUGGGAACUGCAUUUGUGACUGCAUGGCUAGAGUACGGUAGAGGGGGAUGGAAUUCCGCGUGUAGCAGUGAAAUGCGUAGAUAUGCGGAGGAACACCGAUGGCGAAGGCAAUCCCCUGGACCUGUACUGACGCUCAUGCACGAAAGCGUGGGGAGCAAACAGGAUUAGAUACCCUGGUAGUCCACGCCCCUAAACGAUGUCAACUGGGUUGUUGGGGAAAUUUAGUUUUCUCAGUAACGAAGCUAACGCGUGAAGUUGACCGCCU